GCAGUCGACGAUGAAGCCCUUCGGGGUGGAUUAGUGGCGAACGGGUGAGUAACACGUGGGCAAUCUGCCCUUCACUCUGGGACAAGCCCUGGAAACGGGGUCUAAUACCGGAUAUCACUCCCGCAGGCAUCUGUGGGGGUCGAAAGCUCCGGCGGUGAAGGAUGAGCCCGCGGCCUAUCAGCUUGUUGGUGAGGUAAUGGCUCACCAAGGCGACGACGGGUAGCCGGCCUGAGAGGGCGACCGGCCACACUGGGACUGAGACACGGCCCAGACUCCUACGGGAGGCAGCAGUGGGGAAUAUUGCACAAUGGGCGAAAGCCUGAUGCAGCGACGCCGCGUGAGGGAUGACGGCCUUCGGGUUGUAAACCUCUUUCAGCAGGGAAGAAGCGAAAGUGACGGUACCUGCAGAAGAAGCGCCGGCUAACUACGUGCCAGCAGCCGCGGUAAUACGUAGGGCGCAAGCGUUGUCCGGAAUUAUUGGGCGUAAAGAGCUCGUAGGCGGCUUGUCACGUCGGGUGUGAAAGCCCGGGGCUUAACCCCGGGUCUGCAUUCGAUACGGGCUAGCUAGAGUG
This 572-nucleotide ribosomal RNA is filed under the name Streptomyces griseoruber. Its description in RNAcentral is "bacterial SSU rRNA". It matches the Rfam family "Bacterial small subunit ribosomal RNA", at positions 57 to 648 of the family's 1533-position model. Lineage: Bacteria; Bacillati; Actinomycetota; Actinomycetes; Kitasatosporales; Streptomycetaceae. The record is from RNAcentral.